Podarcis lilfordi (Lilford's wall lizard) is the source of this 4817-nucleotide non-coding RNA. Lineage: Eukaryota; Metazoa; Chordata; Lepidosauria; Squamata; Lacertidae. The record is from the annotation of a GenBank genome assembly.
GGGAUGGUGAGCCACACAGAAGCUUCAGGGCCACCAGUGAAAUGCCCAGUUGCUGCAUGUGCAGCUAUUCGGAACAUGGGAGAGGCACAUGUAAGCACCUGCCUUUAUCAAGGCCCUGCAGAGAACUAGGAAGGAAACCUCCAGCUUCCAUUAUAAACUCUCAGUCUGAGCUGCUUUGUUGCAAAGUAUCGAUUCUCCAUUGCAAAGCUUUCUUAUAUUAGGGAAAUGGACACUAAUUCCAGGUUGGGGGACUGAAACUGACUCAAAGAGAAAUAACCUUCAUUUCCCUGGUAAAUAUCAACCCACCUGAUGAACGGCCAACCUGCUUCUGCUUCUUCCCCAAAGUGGUUUGCUACCCAAGAGAUUUGUAUAGCUAAGGAAUGCAUUCAGUAUCUCCUCUGGGCCAGUCCUGGUUGGUAGGUUUGAAACUAUGUUUUAGUUUACUUUAUUUAUUUUCUCUCAGUCAACUAACUUUUGCUCCAUCUCUUUCCAUUUAGAAAAUGUUGUUGGUUUCCACAAUCUCUCCGGAUGUCAGCCAGAUAUGCCUUACGCGUUGUAACCCUACCCAUGUCUACUGCUGUUGAGUUCAAUGGCGCCUGCUCCCAGGUGAGUGGGCAUAAGAUUGAUGUCUUGACAAUGACAUCUCUGUGAAACCGAGGGAACUUUGCUUGCAGUGACUGUAAGAUCAAACCUUGACAGCGGUAAGAAUGCUGAGAUAAAAGGUCACUGAAGUCUUUGAAAGGUUUCAGAAAAGAAGUUGCUUAAAGUGUGACCUUCCUUUAUUCCAGAUCUUUGAUAUCCUAUCAAAUAAUUAUCAUGCAGAAUUCCUCAGAAGGAUAAUUUACUCAGAUGGCUUUGGUUCCACAAAGGAGAAUUAUGAACCGUAAUAUUAAAAAAAAAGAAAAAAAAGACGACUCAUGCCAGAAACAGCCCCUUUUUUGGCCAAUGCUGAGUAAGUAUUAUCUCACUAUUUAGCCAAGUCAAUUGCUUUUGUUGUUAAAAAGGUCCCCCUCUUGGAUCUGAGCUGCUGGAUAGGCUUUUGUGGUGGGUGGGUUGCAAUUUUAGCUAAUGAGCCAGGCAGUGCAAUCUCAGUGCUUUGUAAUGGCUUUAGUCGCAUUUGACUUCAUGCACGAAUAGUCAGAAACCAGCCAAAAGGAAGGUCAGGCAACAUGCUGAUAAGGAAAUAAUCCUAAAUCUCCAUUUGGGGUGAUUUCAUUGCAAAAAUGCUUAUUCUUGUGACAAGGUCACAUUAGAAUUUGAAUCAUCGCCUUUCCUUUUGGCUUUGUUCAACACUACUUUGAACAGCUUCUUCCUGUUGCGGGUUCCUUUCAGCUAUUCAUGUCAAGUGCCGCUGAAAACCUGUGUUGACUUCCUGUUGUUGUCCCCCCCCCCUUUGGAGUAACUCCUGCUUUGAUUAGUAAACAAAACUUUGCACAGCUGAUUGGCAUGUGGGGCCUUCAGGUGUUAUAACUGGACAACAGACCUGUCUGGUUCCCAGGUACAUGAACUGCCCAUAGCACAGGAUAUGUGAUAUGAGUGUGGACAGAAUUUAUUUACUUGUUGCUUUAGAAAGUGAUUUAGUGUUACAGACAAGUAGAUGUUUGAUUCCAAACACUUUGGAUUAGACUUCACAUCUAAAGUGGGGCCUUGGUGCACUUUUCUGAAGCUUUGUAUGGCCCCUUCUUGACUGUAAUGUGGAUCAAUGAGUAUCUAAUUCCAUCCACACCCACCCACCCACCCAUACACCCCAAUCCACAGCACGAGUUUCACAUUCCUGCUGCGUUCUUGAUGGAGUAGACAACAUUUUAUUCAUAAAAAUUUGGAAGUGUGCACUAAAGUAGUACUUGGACCAAUAUACAGAAUAGCUCUAUAUUACACUAUUAUUCAUUGAGACACAGACCAACAAAAUAUUCAACACUGAACUUAAAUGCAAGUAGGGGCAGGGUUUGGUGGUGCCACUGCUGCAUCUGCAGCCCUGCUGCUCGUGGCAGCUGUGGCGAAAGGCGUGGGACAGGGCAGGUGCAUCAUUCAGACCCGGAUCGGGCCCAAUGCCAUUAUGUGACAGCUUGGAAUUCAGAAGAUGCCAGGCCAACUCAGCAAAACAACCUCCCUGCCGUGCAAACACCCUGUUUGGGGACCUUCUGCUGCCUGCUGCCAACAGGUAGUCCAUCACAGACACACCUGCUCAUUUGUACAUUUGGCAGCCAGUGAGGGGCUGGCUCAGUCAGGAGAACUGAGUGGAAGGAUACAAAUACCCUUCCAAAAUGUCCAUGAUGCUUUGGAGCAGCUUGCUUUGUUUUGGACCACUUUGGACAAAUCCCACUUCAUUUUGGAGCAAGUCUGAGUACUUCCAAAGUGGCCCACUUUGGUUCAGUAUCCAGCUAUUUUCUGAAGUGGAUGCACACUAGGUAAGCUCUUUUGAUUGCCUCAUUGUGUGGCGAGAUUUAAUUGCUGGUCAGUAAUGACCAUAUUGUAGUAGUGACAUUUACCCCCCCCCCCAAAAAAAGGGAACAGCUCAUCAUACUUGGCCGAAUGUGGCCACAUGUCUUGAUCUCGGACACACAAAGCCUCUGUAUUUGUUUUUCAAAUUCUUAUUUAUGGAAGUGUCCAAGUAUAACAGUCAACUUGUAAAGGGACCAUCAGUGGUCUGAGAGAACUGUAGGGGCAGCUCCUCACCCAUCUUCCCUGAAACUUCUCUGAGGAAAGGUGGAAGAGAACAAAUCCAGGCCAGGGAUCAGAGCCAUCAAUUCCGGAGUUAGCCUGAAUAUUUUGUACCAUUUGUUUGUGUGAAGAUUUUAAACCGUAAACCACCUUGGUGGCUGGACCUGAUGUUGGAGUAUCACCUUUUUUGUAUUUUGCCCUGUUCACAGCAUAGCCUGUAGGCACUCGCACCCUGUAGUUCCCUAUCUUCUUCAACCCUGAAAGGAUACUAUGUGAGAUAAUUGGUCAUACUUUAUGGGUUUGGUGAACCACUCUAGCCCACCUGCCUGUAUUCUUUAAAAAUUCCAGAGGGUCAUUUCUGCCCCCAAGUUAUUUGUAAUGCUUUGUUGAAAUCAAAGGCUCCCCCCCCCCCGUCUCUGGAUGGUUUCUUUCAUUCAUAGGCUUUCUCCCAUGAGAUUUGAAUUGUAGAUGAUUCUGUACAUUUAUAUUUAAUACUGGAGAACUAACCAGCCAUGUAGGUAUUUAUAUGGCUCUAAAGUCAUAUGAAAAUGCUUUGUACUGCUGAAAUUGAUGUUUAUGCUUUCGCUGUCAGAUACUGCAUUUUCAUUGUUGUUUGUUAAAAUGUGUGUGUGUGUGUGUGUGUUUCUCCUCAUGCCUGUGGAGAAAUAUAACCCAUUUGGAUUUGCCUAAAGAUGAAUUAACACAUGCGUUUUUCAUUAAACUGCUGUAUACUUCUGAUUCAUGUAACUUUGUCACAUACACACCAUAUGUUUUAAACACAUGACUUCCUCCAAAGAAUGCUGGGAACUGUAGUUUGUUAAGGUGCUGGGAGUUGUAGAUCUGCAAAGCGUAAACUACUGUUGCCAAGAUUCUUUGGAGAGGAAAAAGAUGGUUAAUGCACUUCAAUUGUAUGGUGUGGAAGUGACCUUUGAUUAAGCACGGAGUAGGUAUAAAAUUGGGAUGCGGGUGGCGCUGUGGGUUAAACCACAGAGCCUAGGGCUUGCCAAUCAGAAGGUCGGCGGUUCGAAUCCCCAUGAUGGGGUGAGCUCCCGUUGCUCGGUCCCUGCUCCUGCCAACCUAGCAGUUCGAAAGCAUGUCAAAGUGCAAGUAGAUAAAUAGGUACCGCUCCGGUGGGAAGGUAAACAGUGUUUCCGUGCGCUGCUCUGGUUCGCCAGAAGUGGCUUAGUCAUGCUGGCCACAUGACCCGGAAGCUGUAUGCCGGCUCCCUCGGCCAAUAAAGCAAAAUGAGUGCCGCAACCCCAGAGUCGGUCACGACUGGACCUAACGGUCAGGGGUCCCUUUACCUUUUAGGUAUAAAAUUGUGGAUUAAAGAACAACAUAACUUGAUUAAAAAUUGCUGUGCGUCCCCCCCCCCUUUUUAAAGGAGCUUCCUAUCUGUGCCUCAUUACUUUCAGUGGAGGACCUAGCCAGCUUUCUCCCACUUGCCAUUAUGAUUUGCUUUGUGUUGAAUUUAGCAUGAUUUCUGGUCAGACAGGAUGGUCAUAGAAAGGAGAAUGGUGAUCUUGUGAAAGGGCAGGCAACUGUGGGAAGAGUAUGGGUAACUGACUAGAGCAGGGGUAGCUAAUGGAGUCCUUUCCAGAUGUUGAGAACUGUAACAUCCAACAGCCCCAGGCAAUCCAUGACAAUGAUAGAGUCCACAGUGUUUGGAGGAUGCCAUGUUGGUGCCCACACAAGGAGAGCCACCUCUUCAACCUUCCAGAUAUUUGGGAUUCCAAAUACUACCAUCGUUGACCAUUGGGCAUGUUCAUAGUGGCUGAUGGGAGUUGUAACCUAAAACAUCUGGAGCGACCUGGGUGGGAGUAUCAGGAUACAGAUGGCUGACCAAAAAUAGUAGUUAUUAUAUUUUUAUGCAUGGUUUUUAGUGAUAAAUACAAGCAUUGCUUUGUUUCUUGGGAAUAAGGCAGAUGAAUAUGUGAACAUUCCAGCUAUUUUACUGAAGCUAUACUCCGCCAGUUUCCUUUUAUUUGUUUUUCCAAUUAGGUGUUUUCAUCCGUUGGUUCUCACAUGUUAUCGUCACUGAAAAUAAAAAUAAAUAAAAAUCGGCACCUGACUUUUUCCUCCCCCCGCCCCCCGAGGAAGCAUUGGCACUAUAGCCAUCAAAGCUGCGAAGGCACAGUGGCAAAUCAUCACCUUGG